GACGAACGCUGGCGGCGUGCUUAACACAUGCAAGUCGAGCGGUAAGGCCCUUUCGGGGGUACACGAGCGGCGAACGGGUGAGUAACACGUGGGUGACCUGCCCUCAGCUCUGGAUAAGCCUGGGAAACCGGGUCUAAUACCAGAUAUGACUCCAUGACGCAUGUUGUGGGGUGGAAAGCCUUGUGCGGCUGAGGAUGGGCCCGCGGCCUAUCAGCUUGUUGGUGGGGUGAUGGCCUACCAAGGCGA
RNAcentral lists this ribosomal RNA (246 nucleotides) under uncultured Actinomycetes bacterium. RNAcentral's name for it is "uncultured actinobacterium partial 16S ribosomal RNA". It matches the Rfam family "Bacterial small subunit ribosomal RNA", at positions 28 to 276 of the family's 1533-position model. Lineage: Bacteria; Bacillati; Actinomycetota; Actinomycetes. The record is from RNAcentral.